AAGACUAUACUUUCAGGGAUCAUUUCUAUAGUUUGUUACUAGAGAAGUUUCUCUGAAUGUGUAGAGCACCCGAAACCAUGAGGAGGAGGUGCAGUAUUCUCUUCUGAGCGUGAAGCUAGCUUCUGGUGUUGCAUUUGUAACUGCCACUAGCUAUUGAUGAUCGUUCUUCUCUCUCUUUGAGAGAGUGAGAAGGAGAGAAUGCAGUCUGAGUGGU
Molecule: non-coding RNA, 214 nt
Organism: Pteropus alecto (black flying fox)
Lineage: Eukaryota; Metazoa; Chordata; Mammalia; Chiroptera; Pteropodidae
Source: Rfam